RNAcentral lists this ribosomal RNA (253 nucleotides) under uncultured bacterium. RNAcentral's name for it is "partial 16S ribosomal RNA". It matches the Rfam family "Bacterial small subunit ribosomal RNA", at positions 524 to 776 of the family's 1533-position model. The record is from RNAcentral.
UACAGACGGUCCAAACGUUAUUCGGAAUCACUGGGCUUAAAGAGUUCGUAGGCGGUCCAGAAAGUGGGGUGUGAAAGCCCUCGGCUUAACCGAGGAAUUGCGCUCCAAACUACUGGACUUGAGGAGGCUAGAGGUAAGCGGAACUGAUGGUGGAGCGGUGAAAUGCGUUGAUAUCAUCAGGAACACCGGAGGCGAAGGCGGCUUACUGGGGCGUAUCUGACGCUGAGGAACGAAAGCCAGGGGAGCGAACGGG